This 440-nucleotide ribosomal RNA is filed under the name uncultured bacterium. RNAcentral describes it as "partial 16S ribosomal RNA". It matches the Rfam family "Bacterial small subunit ribosomal RNA", at positions 338 to 795 of the family's 1533-position model. The record is from RNAcentral.
CCUACGGUGCGCAGCAGUGGGGAAUAUUGCACAAUGGGGGCAACCCUGAUGCAGCCACGCCGCGUGAGUGAAGAAGUACUUCGGGAUGUAAAGCUCUAUCAGCAGGGAAGAAAAUGACAGUACUUGUCUCAUAAUCCCUUGCUAACUACGUUACAGCAGCCGCGGUAACACGCAGGGGGCAAGCGUUAUCAGGAAUUACUGGGGGUAAAGGGAGCGUAGACGGCUGCGCAAGUCAGAAGUGAAAACCCGGGGCUCAACCGGGGGACUGCUUUUGAAACUGGGCAGCUAGAGUGCAGGAGAGGUAAGUGGAAUUCCUAGUGUAGCGGUGAAAUGCGGAGAUAUGAGGAGGAACACCGGUGGCGAAGGCGGCUAACUGGCACAUAACUGACGCUGAGGAGCGAAAGCGUGGGUAGCAAACAGGAUGAGAUACCCCAGUAGUC